GAAUAUUGCGCAAUGGGCGAAAGCCUGACGCAGCAACGCCGCGUGAGGGAUGACGGCCUUCGGGUUGUAAACCUCUUUCAGCUCCGACGAAGCCGCAAGGUGACUGUAGGAGCAGAAGAAGCACCGGCUAACUACGUGCCAGCAGCCGCGGUAAUACGUAGGGUGCGAGCGUUGUCCGGAAUUAUUGGGCGUAAAGAGCUCGUAGGCGGUCUGUUACGUCUGCUGUGAAAACCCGGGGCUCAACCCCGGGCCUGCAGUGGAUACGGGCAGACUAGAGUCCGGCAGGGGAGACUGGAAUUCCUGGUGUAGCGGUGAAAUGCGCAGAUAUCAGGAGGAACACCGGUGGCGAAGGCGGGUCUCUGGGCCGGAACUGACGCUGAGGAGCGAAAGCGUGGGGAGCGAACAG
This 406-nucleotide ribosomal RNA is filed under the name uncultured bacterium. RNAcentral's name for it is "bacterial SSU rRNA". It matches the Rfam family "Bacterial small subunit ribosomal RNA", at positions 359 to 775 of the family's 1533-position model. The record is from RNAcentral.